CUCAUCACUAACAUGCUUAUUAAUUAGAAGACACAUGGGACUACAGUAUUCGAUUGCUUGUCCCUCAGAUGUGGAGCGUCAAGGACUGCUUCCCAGUCAGUUUUUCCUGGGGAGUGCCAGCCACAUUCCAGGGCAGGCCUCAGGCCCACCAGUAUUUGGCCAAUACACACAAAAAAGGAGAACUCUGUGUUUAUGUUUUCGUGGAGUUUCUGUUUUACUUUGACAUCUUAUUGUUGUACUGAACUUUUGCUUGUUCUAGAUUUCAUCUUUGUGCUUUUGAGUGGUAUUUUUUAAGAGAAUUGAGGUGGGUAGGAAGAUGAAUGGUAGGGAGGUUCUGGGAGAAAUUAGGGAGGGGAAAUGAUCAAAAUAUACUGUAUGAAAAAAUUAAAGUGUGUAAAAAGCGAAAAGAAAAA
RNAcentral lists this long non-coding RNA (413 nucleotides) under Rattus norvegicus (Norway rat). Its description in RNAcentral is "long non-coding RNA NONRATT027522". The record is from RNAcentral. Lineage: Eukaryota; Metazoa; Chordata; Mammalia; Rodentia; Muridae.